RNAcentral lists this long non-coding RNA (7659 nucleotides) under Manihot esculenta (cassava). RNAcentral's name for it is "long non-coding RNA (MESC_LNC010888)". The record is from RNAcentral. Lineage: Eukaryota; Viridiplantae; Streptophyta; Magnoliopsida; Malpighiales; Euphorbiaceae.
GUUUGGUGGCUGUCCAUGCAUUUUUUAGAGAUUUGCCCAAAGUGCCCUUGGCCUUAUGUGUGCAUGUGAGGGCAAGGGUUGGGCAUUUUGGUCUUUUAAUUGCUGUCCAUGGUGUGUCCAAGAAGAUUUAUGCACUAAUGAGGAAGGUGGAGCCUUGAUUUGAAUUUUGAAUGAGCAUGGCACUAUGUAGGAAACAUGUGAUCUCCAAGAUUUAGCUCAUUGAAUAGGAAGGAGGUUGUUCAGGGGCACUUUCGGCCGCCUAAGUUAAGUUUCGGAGGCAGGACUUUCGGCUCUAGACACAAGGUUCGGCGGCCGAAGGAAGGUGACUUUCGUCUCUGGAGUGAAGGUUCGACCGGCGAAGGUGCCGCCGAAGAUGACUGGCAGUUUUGGUUCCCGAAAGUGCUUCCGAAGGAGGUUGAGUUUCGCCUCUGGACCGAAGGUUCGGCUGCCGAAAGAGCUGUCGAAGGUGGCUUUUCCAAUUUUGGAACUUUUUGGUAUUUUUAAGAGCAUUUUCUCCAAAUUGCUUCUUUACACCUAAUAUCUGUAAAACAUGAUUAAAACCACAAAAUUAGAUAGAAUAGGUGCAAAUAAACAUCAAUAAGAUCAUGAUAAUAUGGACUAAAAUAUGCUCUAUCAAAUACCCCCACACUUAGUCUUUUGCUUGUCCUCAAGCAAAUAAACAUAGUCAAAUAAGCUUUCUUUGCUCUAGAUCCUUAUUUCCACUUAAGCUCUUACUCAAGACACUUAUUUUGAAUCAUUGCAGUGAAGAAUAUAUGCAUGAAGAUUACUUACCCCCUUUCCUUGUUUCCCUUUGCUUACCAUGGCUAGGAUUUGUUUUCCUCAAGAGAGACAUGCACAUUAAUUUGUUAGGACUUUUUCUAGCUUUUGGAUUGACUUGCCCUUACCUUGAAGUACUUUAUUCAGGCUUUUGCACUUUAGAUUUUGCUUAGAAAGGUCACCAACCUAUUUUUGAUGUCAUGGUUUAUAUUUUUCAGUUGGUCACCUAUCCAAGUGGCUAGUAGCUCUUAUUUUUGUGCUUUUGAGGUCUAUGCCUUUGCUGAAUGUUCUUUCUCUCAAUGAUUUGGGCAAAUCAACACCAAUUGCUAAAUCAAGUCACAUUAAGUUUAUUCACACAACUUUAAUUUAUUCUCAAUCAAUUGAGGGUCAUCAAUAUAUUUUUCACCAAUGGCAAGCUCUAAGAUUCAAUUCAAAAGUCAAUUCUCAAACAUGUAUACAACCCACUGCAAUUGAUUCAACAUAAGUUUAAAGAGUUAUCACAUCAAUGGGGUCAUGGAAAGAAAAACUUAUUCAACAUAGUUCAUCAGUUUGAGUAGAGCAAAACAAAAGAAGAAGAAGGUUGUGGUUGUGUGUUUUAUUGAAAGCAUAAACAAAUUAAAAUUCAACUGUGGCUAAUUAACUGAAAGUAAUGCAAAACUGAAAGGAGAAAAGAAAAAAUUUUGCAAUAAAAUUGCAGAAGAUAAAGGAAAAAGAGGAAGAGAAGGGGAGAAGAAGAAGGGAGGAAGAAGAGGAGAGAGAUAUGCACCCCCACACUUAAAUCAUGCAUUGUCCUCAAUGUAAAAGAAAGAAAAAAGAACAAAGGAAUCUGAAUACUCCCCUGGGGUGUGGUGUGCAUGGCAUGAUUCGCUUUAGGCAGAGGGCUAUUGCAGUGGAAUUUCUUCCACUACUUGUACUGUGAAUCCUUCAAAGUAUGGCUUCAGACAAUGCCCAUUUACUUUGAAGAUUUUUCUAGUUUCUAUGCUUUUGAUGUCUACAGCUCCAUAUGGGUAGGCAUGUUCUACAAUGAAUGGUCCAAUCCACCUAGACCGUAGCUUCCCUGGAAACAACUUCAAACGAGAGUCAAAGAGUAAGACUUUAUCACCAGCCUCAAAUUGUUUUCUUGAAAGAUGAUUGUCAUGUGAGGCUUUGGUUUUUGUUUUGUAGUUCCAUGAAUUCUUAUAUGCAUCUCGUCUUAUUUCCUCUAGCUCCUGCAGUUGCAACUUGCGAUGGUGGCCAGCUUCUUUGAGGUCCAAGUUGCAAUUCUUCACAGCCCAAUAGGCUUUGUGCUCAAGUUCAACUGGAAGGUGACAAGCUUUCCCAUAGACCAAUCUGUAGGGAGACAUACCUAUGGGGGUCUUGUAGACUGUUCUGUAGGCCCAUAGAGCAUCUUCUAAUAUUGUACUCCAAUCCUUUCGGUUUGGGGAAACUGUCUUUUCAAGGAUGGCUUUGAUUUCUCUAUUGGAGACUUCAGCUUGCCCAUUUGUUUGAGGGUGGUAGGCUGUGGAUGUCCUAUGUAUGACAUUGUGUUUUCUGAGAAGGCUUUCCAUUACCCUAUUGCAAAAAUGAGUCCCUCUAUCACUGAUGAUUGCUUUUGGUACUCCAUGUCUGGCAAAGAUGUUGGUCUUCACAAAGUCUACUACUGCUUUGGCAUCAUCGGUCUUAGUUGCUCUAGCUUCCACCCAUUUGGACACAUAAUCCACUGCAAGGAUGAUAUAAGUGUAUCCAAAGGAUGGUGGGAAUGGGCCCAUGAAGUCUAUACCCCAAACAUCAAAUACUUCACAGACCAUGAUGGGGUUCUGUGGCAUUUGAUUUCUUCUGCUCAGAUUUCCAAUCUGUUGGCAUCUAGCACAUGAUCUGCAAAAUAAAAAAGCAUCUUGAAACAUUGUGGGCCAAAAUAGGCCACUUUCAAGUAUCUUAUGAGCAGUUUUCCUUGGACCAAAGUGUCCUCCACAACUAUAUGAAUGACAAAAAGUGAGUACAGAGGCUAUUUCUUGAUCAGGAAUGCAUUUUCUUAUCAUUUGGUCAGCAUAAUGUUUCCACAUAUAUGGCUCAUCCCAAACAUAGUAUUUGGCAUCUUUCUUUAUCUUAUCUUUAGUGUGCUUUGGCAUGUCAGAAGGUAAGUUACCUGUGGCCAGGUAGUUUACCAUAUCUGCGUACCAUGGCUCAUCAGACUGAGCAAGGAAGAUUUGUUCAAGGAGAUCAUACUUACUCUCUUCAGAAUCUGGAAGGUGCUGUUCUGGUCUUGACUGCAAAGGAGGUGGGAUGGAAGAGUUUGCUUGCGUUGGAUUCGGUUGUGAGAGGUUCGGCGGCCGAAAAGUGUCUGAGUUCGGCGGCCGAAUUUUUUCAGUUUGCGGAACGAGCUGUGGCGAUGGACUCGGCUUCCGCAAGUCAGUGGGGUUCGGCGGCCGAAGGUGGGCUAUGUUCGGCGGCCGAAUGUCUUCUGUCUGCGCAACCUCUAUCUGCUGAAUGCUGCAGAUGGUUUCUUUCAGUUUCAGGUUUUCAGUCCUGCAAAGAUCAUCCUCCAAAAUACAAUCUUGAUUUUCAUUAAACACAUAUUGGCUUAAACAAUCAACAAUAUCGAGACCAUAAACUGGGGACAUAUCAAGUGGAUAUUUCAUGGCAUCAUAGACAUUGUACUUAAUGACUUCCCCUUCAAAUUCCAUGGUAAGAGUACCAUCAUGCACAUCGAUUUUAGUUCUAGCAGUACUAAAGAAAGGACGUCCAAGAAGAAUGUCAGAACUAGUAUUACAACUAUCAUCCUUAGUAUCAAUCAUAUAAAAAUCAGCAGGAAAGACAAGCUCAUCUACUUGGACUAACACAUCUUCUAGAACACCUAUGGGGUAUACCACAGAUCUAUCAGCUAGUUGUAUCACAACUCUUGUUUCUUUAAGUGCACAUGCAUUGAGAGAUUUAUAGAUGGAGAGAGGCAUGACAUUAAUGGAUGCAUCAAGAUCACACAUGGCUUUCUUUAUACCAACAUUCCCAAUUUUGCAAGAGAUAGCAAACAUACCUUUGUCCUUACAUUUGGUGGGGAGUUCUCUUUUGAUAACAGCAAUAACUACCUCACCUACAUUUACUUUUUCUCUUUCAGCAAGCUUUCUUCUAUUGGUGCAAAGCUCUUUUAGAAAUUUUGCGUACCUUGGGAUUUGCUUGACAGCAUCUAGCAGUGGUAUGUUAAUUUCCACUUUUCUGAAAGUCUCAAGGAUGUCCUUUUCUUCUUUUUCUUUUUGCGUUCUUUCAAAUUUUUUUGGAAAAGGAGGCAGAAUGUGAAAGCUUACUUUUGGAUCAGUUUUGUGCGCAAGAGGUGGUUUAGAUGGUGAUGGUGAGGUUUCAGGUUGCCUUGGUUCUUGUGCAGAGGGCGUCUCAGAUGGCGCAGGCUUUGGUGCAACUUGCUUUUCUUCCUCAUAUCUUGCAUCUUGAAGUUCUUUUCCACUUCUCAAAGUGAUGGCACUCACAUUCUGUCUAGGGUUAGUUUCAGUUUGAGAAGGGAGUUUACCUUGGGUUUGCAGUUGGCUUAUAGAGGUGGCCAUUUGUCCUAGGUCUUGUCGCACGCCUUGCAUGGUGCUUAUCAGUGUCUCCAUCAUCUUUUCAAGGCUCGGAUUGGAGCUUGAAGGUGCUGGUUGGGCUUGAUUUCUUUGGUAGUUUUGGGAGUUAUGAUCAUUGUUGGCCUUUUCAUAGCUAAAAUUGGGGUGGUCUCUCCAACCUGGAUUGUAUGUAUUGGAAUAUGGAUCAUAUAUAGGCUGGUUGUUGUACCUCCCAAUUGCAUUGACUUGAUGAUUGUCUUCUUGGAGGGUAGGACAUUGAUCAGUGGGGUGUCCCACAUAUGAACAGAUACCAUAUGGCCUAGGAGGCUGGGGUGCUUGAAUCUGUUGCACAACAUCUACGACAAUAUUUUUCAUAACAGAUGUUAGUUCAGAAAUAGUGGGAAAACUCACCUCAUUGGCCCUUUGUAGUUGCCUCUCUUCUCCAUACUGCCUAGAUGAGGCUGCAAGAGUAGAUAUCAACUCUUUCAUCUCCCUUGGUGACUUGUCUAGGAUAGAUCCUCCACAGGCUACAUUUAUGAGUUUCCUUUCUGAUGGAAUCAAUCCUCCAUAGAAGAACUGUAUGAGGGCCUUGUCUGACAUAUCAUGUUGUGGACAACCUGUACAUAGUCUUUCAAACCAUUCCCAAUAAUCAUAUAAGUCUUCAGUUGGUUUUUGCCUUAUGCUAGUGAUUUCUCUUAUUAUGCCAAUUGAUUUAGAUGGUGGGAAGUAUUUGUCCAAGAAGGCUUGGACCAUAUCAUCCCAAGAAGUUAUAGAUCUAGGUGGCAAAUAAAAUAACCAAUCCUUAGCAUGGUCGUCUAAUGAAAAGGGAAAAGCUCUCAGUUUAACAUGAUCUUCAGAGAUCCCUUGAGGUCUCAUGGAUGAACAAAUAAUUUUAAAUUCUUUUAAGUGCUUAUGUGGAUUUUCAUUCUCUCUACCUCUAAACUUAGGAAGAAUAUGUAUCAAACCUAUCUUGAGUUCAAAGGGAACUGUAAGAGGUGGAUAGGUGAUGCAAAGUGGAGCAUAAUCACCUAUAGGAGUUGCUAACUCCCUCAUGGUUCUUUCUCUUUGUGCUUAUGGCCUAUUUGUUGGAUUUUCUUGAACUAUUUGGCCCUGGACAACUUGUCCAUUGGGGGCAGCAGCAUGUGCUUGAGGUUCUGCCAUUGGUGCAAAAUUUUGUUGCUGGAGUGCAGGACUUUCGGCGGCCGAAGGUUGAUGAGUUUCGGAGGCCGAAGGUUGGGCAGAAGGUUCUGCGUUUGAGGCUUGCUUUCCUAGCCUUCUGAUGGUGCGUUCAAUUUCUGGAUCAAAGGGCAGUGUGUCCCUACUUUCAGAUCUGGUCAUGAAAGAAAAAUAAACAAACAAGUAAGAUCAAUUCCCCGGCAACGACGCCAAUUUUUGACAGUGCGGUUGUCGAAGCCGGUAAAAAAUAACCUUCUUGGUUAUCAACAAUUUACAACUGCAGAUAGUGGUGAAGGAUCGAAUCCAUAAAGAAUUGAUUACCUAUUUAUUUUUCUCAAUCAAGACCAAGAGAACCAAUUGAAAACACAAUUGAAAGCUGAAUGAAAGUAAAGUGCAAUAAAAGUAAAAAGGGGAGUUUUGAUAUUGAAUUGUCUAACAACUAUUAAAAAUAAUUAAAACAGCAAGUAAUUAAAAUAAAAGAGGAAAUCAAUAUGAGAAAAGUCUAGUUGAAGAUAUGGAUCCACUUUGGUUGUUUGGGUUGAUCAUUGCAACAUGGUUAUCUUGAUUGAUUCAAUAGGUUGGUUAUGGGGGUGGAAGACGCUUCUCACCACCAUGUCUUUCCUUAUGAUCAAACUGAUUAUGGAACGUUCUCUAACCAAUUACUAAUCAACAAAUUGCCAAGGAACGUCCUUGGGCCAAAGACAUCAAAACAAUUGCCAAUUGCAUGAAGAACUAGAAAGAUCCAAACCCUAGCUACUCAAACGCAUGAGAUGUUGCUAGAUCAUACAAUUUCUUGGGUUUUUACACCAAGUGUUAUAAGAUCAGAAUAUUUCCAGCAAUUACGGACUAAUAAAAAACAAUCAAUUAACUUUGCAAUCAAGAAUCAAGUGGCCAAUUUGAUCAAAAUAACAAAUCAAUCUUAGAAUCAAAGCACAAUUGCAUGAAUAUUGAAUAAACCAAAAACAAACACUUUAUGUUCAGAUCUCACAACCCUUUAAACAACCUUAGUUUCAACCAAACUUCAACUAGAGAGAGGGUUUCAGCCACUCAUGGAUGAACCAAAAUAGAAAAUAAAAGAAAAGAAAGCAAGAAGAUGAAGAACUAAGGUCGAGGAGGCCUAGGAGAAGCCUUGCCGAAUUCUUGAUCAAUCCUUGAUGGGAGAUGAUGAGUUCUUGAUCUUCUUGAAGCCUUUAAAUAGAUCUUGAGAGGCUCCUUAGGGUUUGGUGGCUGUCCAUGCAUUUUUUAGAGAUUUGCCCAAAGUGCCCUUGGCCUUAUGUGUGCAUGUGAGGGCAAGGGUUGGGCAUUUUGGUCUUUUAAUUGCUGUCCAUGGUGUGUCCAAGAAGAUUUAUGCACUAAUGAGGAAGGUGGAGCCUUGAUUUGAAUUUUGAAUGAGCAUGGCACUAUGUAGGAAACAUGUGAUCUCCAAGAUUUGGCUCAUUGAAUAGGAAGGAGGCUAUUCAGGGGCACUUUCGGACGCCUAAGUUAAGUUUCGGAGGCAGGACUUUCGGCUCUGGACGCAAGGUUCGGCGGCCGAAGGAAGGUGACUUUCGUCUUUGGAGUAAAGGUUCGGCCGCCGAAGGUGCCGUCGAAGAUGACUGGCAGUUUUGGCUCCCGAAAGUGCUUCCGAAGGAGGUUGAGUUUUGCCUCUGGACCGAUGGUUCGGCCGCCGAAAGAGCUGCCGAAGGUGGCUUUUCCAAUUUUGGCACUUUUUGGUAUUUUUAAGAGCAUUUUCUCCAAAUUGCUUCUUUACACCUAAUAUCUGUAAAACAUUAUUAAAACCAUAAAAUUAGGUAGAAUAGGUGCAAAUAAACAUCAAUAAGAUCAUGAUAAUAUGGACUAAAAUAUGCUCUAUCAUCAAUAAUGAGAAAGCUCUAGUUGAAGUAUUGGAUCCACUUUAGUUGUUGGGAUUGAUCAUAUACACUUUGUUCUUUUGGGUUGAUUCAAUAGAUUAGUUAUGGCGAUGGAAGACGCUUCUCACCACCAUUAUCUCUCCUUAUGAUUUAACCAAUCAGGGAACGUCCUCUAAUUAAUUACUAAUUAACAAAUUGCCAAGGAACGUCCUUGGGCCUUAGGCAUCAAAACAAUUGUCAAUUGCAUUAAGAAAUAGAGAGAUCCAAUCCUAGCUAUCCAAACGUAUGGAGAUAACGCUAGAUCAUGCAACUUCCUUGGUUUUUAUUCCAAG